RNAcentral lists this ribosomal RNA (266 nucleotides) under uncultured bacterium. RNAcentral describes it as "partial 16S ribosomal RNA". It matches the Rfam family "Bacterial small subunit ribosomal RNA", at positions 28 to 296 of the family's 1533-position model. The record is from RNAcentral.
GACGAACGCUGGCGGCGUGCUUAACACAUGCAAGUCGAGCGGUAAGGCCCUUUCGGGGGUACACGAGCGGCGAACGGGUGAGUAACACGUGGGUGACCUGCCCUCAGUUCUGGGAUAAGCCUGGGAAACCGGGUCUAAUACUGGAUAUGACCUCAUGACGCAUGUUGUGGGUGGAAAGCCUUGUGCGACUGAGGAUGGGCCCGCGGCCUAUCAGCUUGUUGGUGGGGUGAUGGCCUACCAAGGCGACGACGGGUAGCCGGCCUGAG